CAAGGGUUGGACUUGAUGAUUUCAAAGGUCCCUUCCAACCCAGCUGAUUCUAUGAUUCUAUGAUACAACAAAGCUCUCAGUGCCUUCUCAACUGUCACCAAAAUAGUACCACAAAACACGCUAAGCACAGGAGCACAACAAUCUACUUCUUGGUACUUCUCAGUUCAGGUACCGAUGAUCAGUCUGGUUGCAGCCACAGCCAUCUUAAUUCAGAGUGCCAAAAGCCCCACAGCUUUUCUGAAUAGCGACGCCUAAUUGUGUUCAAAUCAAAGCUGUACUGCAGGAGGCAGAAGUGAUGGAAUGGGACAACUGGGUAAGGUGGCAUGAGCUGAUGGAGAUUUUCUGAUAAAGAAUGUAUAAGACCCUGGGAAUUUUCGUCAGGUUCACAGUCAGACUUCUUGAUUGAAAUGUUUCCUUUGCAAAGAGCUCUUCAUAUUUUCGUAAAUGCUAAAAUAAUAAGCCUUAUGGAGAAAAUGCAGGAACUUCCACUUCUAGGAAACCAUGAAGAAGCCAGCAAGUUGAAGUUCUUGUGGUGAUGGAGAGGAGGGAGGAAGAGUGCUAUUUAGACCAUCUAGAAAAUAGUUUAGCAUUACCACAUGGCAAGAUGUAGGAUUUGGACAGUAUUGAAUCAUACAUUACUUACAUACAUACAUACUAGGAUCAAAUCUGAACACUUAAAGGCAAUUUUGUGUAUAAUUAAAGAAAUAUUCUGUCCUUCCUGUCUCUGAUGCUCUAAAAUCCAUCUUACUAGGCUCCAUCUUACAGCUAUUUCUCUCUAUACAGAAAAGCUUUUCAGACAUGUAAGCAGUUGCACAGUUCUCAAAUAUGCCAGAAGGAAAGUUUUGUAAAAAAAAAAUAAAAAUCCUAAUUCACAAA
Long non-coding RNA from Pipra filicauda (Wire-tailed manakin), 876 nucleotides. RefSeq lists it as uncharacterized. The transcript is spliced from 4 exons. The record is from RefSeq and is a predicted model, not a curated record. NCBI's taxonomy places the organism in Eukaryota, Metazoa, Chordata, Aves, Passeriformes, Pipridae.